Molecule: ribosomal RNA, 707 nt
Filed under: Bacillus sp. (in: firmicutes)
Lineage: Bacteria; Bacillati; Bacillota; Bacilli; Caryophanales; Bacillaceae
Description: bacterial SSU rRNA
Rfam family: Bacterial small subunit ribosomal RNA
Source: RNAcentral
AGUCGAGCGGACUAAUGGGAGCUUGCUCCCGUUAGUUAGCGGCGGACGGGUGAGUAACACGUGGGCAACCUACCUAUAAGACUGGGAUAACUUCGGGAAACCGGAGCUAAUACCGGAUGACAUAAAGGAACUCCUGUUCCUUUAUUGAAAGAUGGCUUCGGCUAUCACUUACAGAUGGGCCCGCGGCGCAUUAGCUAGUUGGUGAGGUAACGGCUCACCAAGGCGACGAUGCGUAGCCGACCUGAGAGGGUGAUCGGCCACACUGGGACUGAGACACGGCCCAGACUCCUACGGGAGGCAGCAGUAGGGAAUCUUCCGCAAUGGACGAAAGUCUGACGGAGCAACGCCGCGUGAGCGAUGAAGGCCUUCGGGUCGUAAAGCUCUGUUGUUAGGGAAGAACAAGUGCUAGUUGAAUAAGCUGGCACCUUGACGGUACCUAACCAGAAAGCCACGGCUAACUACGUGCCAGCAGCCGCGGUAAUACGUAGGUGGCAAGCGUUGUCCGGAAUUAUUGGGCGUAAAGCGCGCGCAGGCGGUUUCUUAAGUCUGAUGUGAAAGCCCCCGGCUCAACCGGGGAGGGUCAUUGGAAACUGGGAAACUUGAGUGCAGAAGAGGAAAGUGGAAUUCCAAGUGUAGCGGUGAAAUGCGUAGAGAUUUGGAGGAACACCAGUGGCGAAGGCGACUUUCUGGUCUGUAACUGACGCUGA